This 825-nucleotide ribosomal RNA is filed under the name Halobacillus trueperi. RNAcentral describes it as "bacterial SSU rRNA". It matches the Rfam family "Bacterial small subunit ribosomal RNA", at positions 61 to 852 of the family's 1533-position model. The record is from RNAcentral. Lineage: Bacteria; Bacillati; Bacillota; Bacilli; Caryophanales; Bacillaceae.
GUCGAGCGCGGGAAGCGAGCUGAUCCCUUCGGGGUGACGCUCGUGGAACGAGCGGCGGACGGGUGAGUAACACGUGGGCAACCUGCCUGUAAGAUCGGGAUAACUCCGGGAAACCGGGGCUAAUACCGGGUAACACUUUCUUUCGCAUGAAGGAAAGUUGAAAGAUGGCUUCUCGCUAUCACUUACAGAUGGGCCCGCGGCGCAUUAGCUAGUUGGUGAGGUAACGGCUCACCAAGGCGACGAUGCGUAGCCGACCUGAGAGGGUGAUCGGCCACACUGGGACUGAGACACGGCCCAGACUCCUACGGGAGGCAGCAGUAGGGAAUCUUCCGCAAUGGACGAAAGUCUGACGGAGCAACGCCGCGUGAACGAUGAAGGUCUUCGGAUCGUAAAGUUCUGUUGUUAGGGAAGAACAAGUACCGUGCGAAUAGAGCGGUACCUUGACGGUACCUAACGAGGAAGCCCCGGCUAACUACGUGCCAGCAGCCGCGGUAAUACGUAGGGGGCAAGCGUUGUCCGGAAUUAUUGGGCGUAAAGCGCGCGCAGGCGGUUCCUUAAGUCUGAUGUGAAAGCCCACGGCUCAACCGUGGAGGGUCAUUGGAAACUGGGGAACUUGAGGACAGAAGAGGAGAGUGGAAUUCCACGUGUAGCGGUGAAAUGCGUAGAUAUGUGGAGGAACACCAGUGGCGAAGGCGACUCUCUGGUCUGUUUCUGACGCUGAGGUGCGAAAGCGUGGGUAGCAAACAGGAUUAGAUACCCUGGUAGUCCACGCCGUAAACGAUGAGUGCUAGGUGUUAGGGGGCUUCCACCCCUUAGUGCUGAAGU